GUCGGAAGGGGACGAUAAAUGGCUGACCCGUGUUUAGAGAGAGCCAUAUCUCUUGCACGUUAAAGACACCCUUGUAGAUUUUGAAAAAGAGCAGGCUAAUGCGGCUACAAGCAGCACUCGCACCCGCAAAGUGGAAAGGGAUUAAUAUAAGUUGCAAAACUUGUUUCCCAAUCCACUAUAAAUAAAUAUGUUUAAACUAAGAAAAUUAAACUUUGUUUGAUAUAAAAAAAAAUUGAAUCCUUGGGGAUUUUUGAUAUGCUGAAUCUAAACCUGUAUUUAGAUUUUUGAUUAUAGGCCCAGUUUUCAAGUUGGUCCAAAUUGCGGUCCAAAAUUAAACUUUGUUUGAUUUCAACAAAAAUUGUAUAUAUGGGGUUCUUUGAUAUAUGCUUAAUCUAACCAUGUAUUUAGAUUUUUGAUGUUUAAUUGGGCCCGGUUAUCAGAUUGGUCCACAUUGAGGUCUAAAGGGUACAAAAUUGAACUUUAUUUGAUUUCAUCAAAAAUUGAAUUCUUGGGGUUCUUUGAUAUGCUGAAUCUAACCAUGUAUUUAGAUUUUGGAUAUUGGACCAUAAUAGGUAAUGUCCAAUUUAAAAUUUAAAGUUUUUAAGUUUAAGUUCUUAGACCACAUUCAUUAUGUGUCAGAAACCUGUGUUGUGUCAACUAUUUAAUCACAAUCCAGAUUCAGAGCUGUAUCAAGCUUGAAUGUUGUGUCCAUACUUGCCCCAAUGUUCAGGGUUCGAACUCUGCGAUCGUAUAAAGCUGCGCCCUGCGGAGCAUCUGGUU
Molecule: long non-coding RNA, 780 nt
Filed under: Mytilus galloprovincialis (Mediterranean mussel)
Lineage: Eukaryota; Metazoa; Mollusca; Bivalvia; Mytilida; Mytilidae
Source: RNAcentral